UAACCCCGGGAAACCGGGGCUAAUACCGGAUGAAACAUCGCAUCGCAUGAUGUGGUGUUGAAAGGCGGCUCCGGCUGCCACUUACAGAUGGGCCCGCGCCGCAUUAGUUAGUUGGUGAGGUAAGAGCUCACCAAGGCGACGAUGCGUAGCCGACCUGAGAGGGUGAUCGGCCACACUGGGACUGAGACACGGCCCAGACUCCUACGGGAGGCAGCAGUAGGGAAUCUUCCGCAAUGGACGAAAGUCUGACGGAGCAACGCCGCGUGAGUGAUGAAGGUCUUCGGAUCGUAAAACUCUGUUGUCAGGGAAGAACAAGUGCUGUUCGAACAGGGCGGCACCUUGACGGUACCUGACCAGAAAGCCCCGGCUAACUACGUGCCAGCAGCCGCGGUAAUACGUAGGGGGCAAGCGUUGUCCGGAAUUAUUGGGCGUAAAGCGCGCGCAGGCGGUCCUUUAAGUCUGAUGUGAAAUCUCGUGGCUUAACCGCGAGCUGUCAUUGGAAACUGGGGGACUUGAGGACAGAAGAGGAGAGUGGAAUUCCACGUGUAGCGGUGAAAUGCGU
Molecule: ribosomal RNA, 562 nt
Filed under: Lentibacillus salis
Lineage: Bacteria; Bacillati; Bacillota; Bacilli; Caryophanales; Bacillaceae
Description: bacterial SSU rRNA
Rfam family: Bacterial small subunit ribosomal RNA
Source: RNAcentral